Molecule: non-coding RNA, 103 nt
Filed under: Xylanimonas cellulosilytica
Lineage: Bacteria; Bacillati; Actinomycetota; Actinomycetes; Micrococcales; Promicromonosporaceae
Also listed under: 1 other name
Description: Glycine sequence
Rfam family: Glycine riboswitch aptamer
About the family: This family represents the bacterial glycine riboswitch. Glycine riboswitches usually consist of two metabolite-binding aptamers domains with similar structures in tandem. The aptamers cooperatively bind glycine to regulate the expression of downstream genes.
Source: RNAcentral
CAAAUCGCGACGGGAGAGCUCGCCGCCGGCCCUGGCCGACGACGACGCCGAAGGAGCAAACCCUCCCCGGGAAUCUCUCAGGCCCCCGUACCGUCGUGACGAG